Molecule: long non-coding RNA, 436 nt
Organism: Gadus macrocephalus (Pacific cod)
Lineage: Eukaryota; Metazoa; Chordata; Actinopteri; Gadiformes; Gadidae
Exons: 2
Source: RefSeq, a predicted model, not a curated record
CACCCUAGACCAGGGUUCCCCAAUUAGUUUUUCCAGAGGGCCAAAUUUGGUCAAACAUGCCAUGCCAAGGGCCGAAAUGUCGUUUCAUUUUUCUAAUUCGCCAUUUUUAUGUGCAAAUUUAGCUUUAAUUAUAAGUACUGUUUUAGCGAUAAUGCAGGAGGGCUAGAUCAAUUAGGUUUAAAUAGCAUCCAGGAAUGGUGCAUCGAUGAGAAUGCAAGGAAUGAGGAGGACGAGGAGACGUAGCUUGCUUCAGACUAUAUUAUGUUCAGCCUUGUUUAUUUAAAUACUCGGUAAUGUCUUUCAGUUUCUAUAAAACAACAGCGCAGUUUGUUUAUUUUGCCUGAGUAUCUGAGCAUACACCCCGUGCAUGACUUCAAUCUUUACCACAACCACAGCUCUGCUUGAUCUACCCAUAUAAAUAAAGGAAACAAAGUAA